GACGAACGCUGGCGGCGUGCUUAACACAUGCAAGUCGAACGGAAAGGCCCUGCUUUUGUGGGGUGCUCGAGUGGCGAACGGGUGAGUAACAAGUGAGUAACCUGCCCUUGACUUUGGGAUAACUUCAGGAAACUGGGGCUAAUAACGGAUAGGAGCUCCUGCUGCAUGGUGGGGGUUGGAAAGUUUCGGCGGUUGGGGAUGGACUCGCGGCUUAUCAGCUUGUUGGUGGGGUAGUGGCUUACCAAGGCUUUGACGGGUAGCCGGCCAGAGAGGGUGACCGGCCACAUCGGGACUGAGAUACGGCCCAUACUCGUACGGGAGGCAGCAGCAGGGAAUAUUGCACAAUGGGCGGAAGCCUGAUGCAGCAACGCCGCGUGCGGGAUGACGGCCUUCGGGUUGUAAACCGCUUUCGCCUGUGACGAAGCGUGAGUGACGGUAAUGGGUAAAGAAGCACCGGCUAAGUACGUG
RNAcentral lists this ribosomal RNA (468 nucleotides) under uncultured bacterium. Its description in RNAcentral is "partial 16S ribosomal RNA". It matches the Rfam family "Bacterial small subunit ribosomal RNA", at positions 28 to 507 of the family's 1533-position model. The record is from RNAcentral.